CAGCAAUGCUGGAUCUGAGCUGCGUCUGCGACCUAUGCAGCUUGCAGCAAUGCCGAAUCCUUAACCCACUGACCAAGGUCAGGGAUUGAACCUGAAUCCUCACGGAUAUUUGUUGCGUCCUUAACCCACUGAGCCACAACAGGAACUCCCUAAAAGAGUGCUUUUGAUUUAAGAAAGUGGUCCUCACUCAGGGAGAUUCCAGGGGGGAGACCAUCAAACCUGUGGGCACCCGCUGAGUGCCACGUACUGUGCUGGGUGCCAGAAACGCACGGCUGGGUGGCCACGUGGCCCAGGCCGACCUCUUAUAACUCAGGAGUCAGUUCAGCUCAAAGCUCACUUGCCCAUGUGUGAAAUGGGUGAGUCACAGGUGGAAGCGUUAGGGCCUCUGCUGAGCAAACGGUCACCGAGCCACUAGUGACUCUUCCUAUGAAUGGACAGGCUUAGCCAGACCCCAUCUGCGUGAGUGUUCUGUAAAUACUGUCUUCACGCUGACUUUACCAAGGGCCAAAAGGGACAGCUUCCCUGUUCAGUCCACCCUCUGGGGCCGUUUCUCUGCCUGCUUGGCAGCACCGGGCCCUCCCGAAGCCCUCAAUUUGUGUCUGAGACAAUGAGUCACUUUUGAUAUGUGACACACUCUUGCUUGGCUGUGGGAACCUCGUCACAGGAAGUCUGUCCAUCGACCUGGAACUUAUUUUAGGUUAAAGUAAAAAUCAGUGUAAAUUUGUAGACAUUCCUGGUGACAAUGGAAGUCACCCAAAGAAUGAAAAAAAAAAAAAUUAGACUUAGAAAUUGCCUUCCUUAAUGGCCAGGGCUGGGGCAGUCAGGAAUAUAGCCGAGGGAUUUUCAUUUGGGGGGGAUAAUCAUAAUUCCAUAAGCAUAUAAUGUAAAAUAAUAUAAAUCGGAAAACAAGCACUUUGUCACUUCAGCAGCGGGUGGUACAUCGACUUAGCCAUGCUGAUGCUCUCAAACACAUUGUUCUUAAAGCUGCUUAAAACCAUCUGCAGAGUUUCGAGCCAAUUGGCCUUUGCUCCCUUUUGAGUAGGAAUUAGAUGUUACAGCCUCACCUGAGAAGAGCCCUUUAAGGGCGGGGAUUAGUGGGGAACAUUCGGGUUGAGACUCAUAGAACUUGGGUUACAUCCAGCCAAGCGCCACCUAGGAGCUCUGUCGUCUAAAUGAGGUUACUUCUCUCUCUGUGAGUCCUUCUCCCCACCUCCAAAACCAAGACCUGCAGUCCUGUGGGUCCUGGAGCAAUGUAAUGAGGCCUGGAGAUAAGGCCCAUAAAGCUCCUAGAACUUAGGAGUGUCCCCGGCCAUUGGCAGCUCUGGCCAUCUCCACGUGGAAUUUUCCACAAUUGUGCAUCUGAUUAGAAAACUACCCUGAAAUGAAAACAUGUGAUAAUCCUCCUUGGUCUUCAGCUGUAAGCCAAACUCUCCUUGCCAAGGGAAAAUCAAGCACCGAUAUUACUUAGAAUCAAGAUAAAAGGGUAAAAGAUAAAAUGGUAAAACAGUGAGAGGGUCCGGGAGUCUGCAGCUGCCCAGAGCCACCCCUGGAGCACAUCCCAAGGGCCGCUUCUCGGAAAGAAACGCCUCCAAACAUUCAAUCAGGCCCCAGACAGGAUCAAAACGGGAGGUGGCGCUCGGCAUGAAGCCCAAGAAGAAACGGAGACAGCAGCCUCGGCUCUGCCUGAGGGAAAAUGCCCAGCAGACCGGCCAGGGUGGGCUCUCCAGGGGCCGCCCAGAUGCGCCAGCUCAGACCAGGGCAUCAUGGGUGGUGCCAUCUCCUGUUAACCUGACAGGACCCUGACCAAGCCACAUUCUUGGAUAGUUCAGUCUCCCAGGACCCUUCUCCACUGACGAGAAGAGGUGUGGGCUCACUGCCUCUCUUAUUCAUAACUGCUCACAAGUGGCAAAGCCUGCAUCACAGCAAGAAGGCUGAUUCUGCCUGUUGCAUCACAAUCUCAAUUGCCUGAGCACCAGCUACCAGGUAGUUGAGCAAACUUUUGGACAAGGACUCAAAAGAAUGACCCAUUUUUUCCCUCCCAACAGACAGUAGUACCUUAGGUCUAACAUAACCUUGAAACUCUGACCUUGAAGCCAGGAGGAUUAAGAGACCAGUUCCUCUUUCUGUGCCAACGUUUUAUUCUGUUUCCAAGUCUGGGGUAAGAGUCCAUCAAGAUGCUUCCUAAUUUGGGCAAGACGAACCUCCCAGCACACCUGCCUCUGAGGCCCCUUGACAGCGAGGCCACCCACUGGCAUGUCUUGGGGUGUUCAUUUAAACAAUGCUGGAGAUGUCAUCUAUUUCACUUUGCUAUUCCCCCAAUUCCAGCCUUUGCUAUGUCACAGCAUUUUCUCUCCAUUGUUUUUACCGGGGGCACCUUACUAGAACAACAAAUAGAAGACCAAAUCAGAACAGCCCAGCUUCGUUCUGACACAAAGGCGGGCCUGUGGGGCAGGGGGCGGCGACUGAUGCUGCGAAAGCCACCUUCGAUAGCACACGGAGGGGCUUCCAACAGAUCCACGCGCGGGGGACCCACGUUCCAAGGAGCGCACGGCCCCAGGUGGGGUGCCCAGAGCUGAGGGCGCAGGACGCACGGGCAGUGACGGGCCGGGCAUCACGUACGCGCCCGCGGCGGGCGGANNNNNNNNNNNNNNNNNNNNNNNNNNNNNNNNGCCCCCGCCCGGCCCCGCCCCCACUCAAGGGCGAAGGGAAGGUCGGGGCAGGGUGGGCGGCCGGCGAGGGCGCCGGACCAAUCACUUAAGCAUCCCUCCAUGGAGCGUGGCCUGGAAGCUGGGGAAGAUGAGGCAUCAGGGCCUUUCAGCUCAUCCGGGACAGGAGGAAGAGGGUAAAAUAAAAACCAAAACCGGGCUCAGGAGGCGUCCCCGGCCUGUGAUCCUUCAGGCUCUAAGCAUGCACCCGCCGGGGCAGCGCCUGGGCAGCACGGCGCUACUUUCUAGAGGCUGGGUCGCCCCACCCAGGGAUGGACCAGGAUCAGGAAACCCCAGCCUUCUGGGAACCCCUGCGCCCCCACGUGCGCCCAGCGCAAGGGGCCGUGGCGCGGCUGUGACAUCCCCGCUUUAAAUCCAAAUAUUCUGUUCGUAAGGCCUCGGGCCCGGGAGCAUGGGUCCCCUUCUCGAAAUCAGCUACCACCCUUGGGGGCGGAGGGCGGCAGCUGCAGUCCGCACUCCCGGUGCUGUGACGCUUGGGAGUCCCCGCUUCCUGGUCCUUC
RNAcentral lists this long non-coding RNA (3226 nucleotides) under Sus scrofa (pig). Its description in RNAcentral is "lncRNA (ENSSSCG00005020851.1)". Lineage: Eukaryota; Metazoa; Chordata; Mammalia; Artiodactyla; Suidae. The record is from RNAcentral.